Long non-coding RNA from Gorilla gorilla gorilla (western lowland gorilla), 4444 nucleotides. RefSeq lists it as uncharacterized. The transcript has 3 exons. NCBI's taxonomy places the organism in Eukaryota, Metazoa, Chordata, Mammalia, Primates, Hominidae. The record is from RefSeq and is a predicted model, not a curated record.
CGAGGGCGAGUUGUGGCGUCUCUGAAGCCAAUAGCUGGGCCAUGAAGAUGAUCUUGGCUGUGGAGAGCCAGAAGGGCCAGGUGCGCCUGAGCUCCUGGAGUAACUGCAUCUUCUCUGACCCCUGGUACCAGACCCCGGAUGAGGAUGUCGGGAUGAUACACAAAGCUGCGUCCAGGGGAACGCGUGGGAGCUGCAGCGGAGGCUCCCGCUGAAGAGAAUAGACCAGUCUGAAAUCUACAAGAACAGGUGUCGGGAACUGCGGGCUGCGGGCUGGGGGUUGAGGGAGAAGGUGGGCAGGUGGGGAGAAGCACCUCCUUCAGAGUUGGGGGCUUGGGGAGUGGGGGCCAGGGGAGGCGUGGAAAGAAUAGUGUGUGCGGGGUGGGACGUCCUCGUCCCCAGGGCGCUGGGCUUUCUUCCUAGGAGGACUCCGCAGCGCCUGGGAUGUGGACGCCUUGGGGGUGGAGGGCCCAGGCCAUCUUUAUGAGCAGCAAAAUAAACCCAAAACUUUAGCUGGUUCCUCCACCCGCAGUUCCUCUUACAGAGCACUUUAGAGAGAACUUUAAAGUGAUUUAACAAAAUUAAGUAUAUAUUGUUUUAUUUUUAAUGCACACAUUUUAAAAGAUAAUGUUAGGUACAUUAUAGAAAGGUACAUAAUGAAAGAAAUAAUUCCCAUAAUAUAUCACCUUCUGGGCUAAGAAUUUUUUGGCUAAAAUCCAAUAUUUUAUAUCAAUGAAUACCUAUGUAAAUAUGUUCUUUGCUGAGAGACCUUAGAAGGAAACUUUGAAGUAGGAAGAAGUUUCACGUUCUUAAAUAAGAAGACUCAUUUUUCUCGAGGUGUGAGAUCUUUAUUAAUUUUACACAAAUCAAAGUUAUCAAAGUUAAUAUUUUUGAAUUACACAUGCUGUCUUUUAAUAUUAAGAUGGCUUAACAUUUUUGUAAUGGAGAAAAAAAGUCUUGCCUUUCAAAAUGUGCUAUUAAUUUGCAUAAAUAGUUUGCUAACAGCUGAAAAGAUAGAUAAAUGAAUGCAAGAGAAUAGAAAAUCCAGGAACACCCAAAUAUAUGUAAGAAUGUAUAACAGGGUAAUGGUGAGACUUUAUACUAGUAAGAAAAGUGAAAUGCCUGCUUUUUCGAAGAAACUAGCUAGAUUUUUAUGUCACAAAAAUAAGUUUCUCAUUGAAUAUAGAUUAUUUUAAAUAUGCAAAAUGAGAAAAAUACCAGAAGAAAACGCAAAUGCCUAUUUAUACAAAUACAUUUUUGUGUUGACAAAGACCUUCCUAGGAACCUCUCAAGCAAGCAUUCUGAAAGUUUAUUUAGCAAAAUUAAAAUUAAAUCACACUGCAUAUGAGAAAAAGAUAAAAUAAAAGACAUCAUACUUAUAUAAUAUUUACCACGUGUUUUUGUGUGUGUACAUAUAAAAAAUGGCUAUUCAUUUUACAGAGAAUUCUUCCAAAUCAACAUGAAAAUACCUCUAAAACUGGGCAAAGUACUUUUUCCAGCUCUGCAAGUCACCUAUGCACAUAGGAAAAAAUACUUAAUGUGUCUGAUAAGAGAAGGAAUUUAAUUUAAAAAAGGAAUGAAAUGCCGUUUUCUAUCCUAAGUUUGUGAGGAUGAGGAGCAGUGAUAUUUACAAUUCUGCUUAAAGUUAAGUUGCUGAUGACUUUUCAAAAAGACAAUUUGGUGGAUGGCUCCACAUUUGGCCUGUGCCAAUGGCUGCCCAGAAGUGGUAACUUUUCUGGUGCACAGAAAAUGCCAGCUUAACAUCUGUGACAGUGAAAACAAGACACCUCUAACGAAGGCUAUAACAUGCCAAGAAGAUGUGAAACUAUUCUGCUAGACCUUGGUGCUGAUCCAAAUAUUACAGAUGUCUAUGGCAGCACUGCUCUCCAUAUGCUGUCUAUAAUGAGAAUAUGUCAAUGGUAGCAAAACUGUUUUCACACAAGACAAACGUCGAAGUGAAAAACAAUGUAGAGCAACCAACGUUAUUUUCAAAAUAUUUGAAAUCCACUUGUUUUAACAUUGACAUAUGUAAGGGUCAGUUUUUCCUAUUUGGAAGCUUAAGCAAUCCCUGAAUAAAAAUAAUUUGAAAUAACAGUCUAAGAUUUUACCUUAAAUACUAAUAUCUUUAAAAAAGUAUUAGAGAGUAUGGCUUUCUUUUAUGCAUUUAUGGUACAUAUUUGAAUUUGUUAUAGGUAAAACUUUUGUUUUCAAUUUUUUUUUUGACUGAAGUAUUCUUUUUCUUUCUAACUAGUGUACAACAACACAGGAAAGCAAAGUUGGCCUGCAUAAAUUAAGCCAACGUGUAAAAUUUAGGAGACCUGCAAAAAUCUGUAUUUCAGGCUCCUCUUAAAUAGUGAAAUCUGGUUUCCCUUGAGCCCAUAUUACUGUUUGGUGUGCUAUGAAGAGGCUGUAGCUUCACGCAAAGUCUGUGGUCUCCAGUUUGCCGCUGUGCCCACCUAGGGACUUACUCAGGUCAUACCCUUUGCCUCUGUAAAUAUUUUAGUUAACAACUCCUGUCAUAUAGUAUAUUUUGGUAAAGAUUUCAAGGUUUUCAAGACAGUUGAUAGUUAUUUAUAAUAUAUAGCCUAUAUUUUGUAUUAAUUCCUUAAUAAUGGGUUUGACUUUUAGAAUUUAGAAGUUGUUUUUUAAAUAAUGAUUUUUCUUUAUAUAUACCAUAAAUAAUAAUCACAUUGGAAUGCCUAUAUGCCUUUUUAGGUUAAUUAUGGUUAUAUUUGGAUAGGUUAUGCAUAUUGCAGAACACAUUUUAUCUUUCUCCUCAGCAUUGUCUCUGAAAAUGGAAGUGAUUUAGUGGCUUUUAUUACGCUAAAAUAACCCAUAUAGUUCAGCUAGAAAUUGUAUUGAUAAGCCAUUGCAUUUGUUAUUUCUGAUAUUUUGCCAAAAAUAAAAAAUAAUUUUAAGUAGCAAUGAAAAAUGGAAACCAGAAUAAAAAUGGAUUAAUGCAUUUUAAGAAGUAGAUUUGCAUUAGGGUCCUAGGAUUAUAAAUAUCAUUAUAAUUGAGAAUAAAAUUUCAUACUGAACUUUGUAACAGCUAAAAUUCUGUGAUCCUGUAAUAGGAGAAACCCAAUGGACCAUUUAAUAAUAAGCAAUCAAAAUUCAUUUGAAGCCUAUCUCUUUUAAUUUAGAGCCCAUUUCCUUAGUGACCUACUUGGAGCAGGAGUGCCUGACUUUGGCAGCUGGGAUCCUGGGCCCAUUGAUAGAAAAUAAUCAAGUGAGUUUCUAUCACUUGGAGGAAACCUCUACCUUUAUUGGAAAGCUUUAAAAACUGUAAUCCUGAAAUUUUAAUUCCUCAAAUGUUAAUAUUGCCACAAAACCUAUUGUCAAAUAAGGAUUAGGCAAAGUUCAAGACAUUUCUUGAAUACUGGACAUAUAAUUCACAGUUUUAUAAUAUUUCUCAAACAUAGAUGAUCAUAGGAUCUUCCUAUUCAGGUACAGUCUUUAAAUUCUGGCAAAGUAAAUAUUCUUUGGAAUAUAGUUUAAGAAGUACUACUCUAGAGGUAAUAAUUUAGAUCAUUAAUUUAAUAAAAAUACUUAAAGUAUUUACUACUAUGUCAUAGGGUUUGAGGAUAAACAGAUAAAAGAUACAGCAGCUGCCCUCAAGAAUCUGUUGGUUUAGAUAGAAAUCAAUAAAAUUAUUACAAUAUACCACGUGAAAUGCUGUGCUAGAAACAAAGAUUAUUGAAACCAGUGACUGUUUCAAAUCAUUUUUGGAGCUGACCAGAGUUAAUGUGAGUCAGAGGCUGGAUGUUUUCAAGUGGAGGAGGAGUGCAUGGGAAAGCACAGAGGAGUGAGAAGGAAGGGACAGAUUUUAUUUGCUUUCUAUUUUAUGUGUUUAAGUUCAUAAGACCUUAUAUAAGGUAUUCAGCUCAGCUGACAAAUAUGUAAUUUUAUGAAUUAUAAAUUGUUUUUGCCGUUUUACAGGAUGGCCUCAUACCACUUUUACUUGCCAUAACUAAAAGAAGACAGCAAAUGGUAUAAUUUUUACUAACAAAAAAUGCAAAUGUAAAUGCAGUUGAUAAAGGUUUAGUCAUUUUUUUAAAGUGAGUGUUGUUCUAGAGUCGUAACAUUCAAGUUGGAAAUAUUAAAUUAAUCAGCAGAUUAGCUUAUAUUUAUUGGAUUAUAGUGGAAAAUAUCAAAACAAAUCACCAGUUAGGUAGAAAAGCAAUUACUUGGACUGGGCAACAUAAAGAACAUAUGUAUAUGAUAGGAUUUAUAUUCUCUUAUUAUAUUGGCUGAUGUUAUUUGCAAUCUGAUGUUUUUGGUCACAUUAUCUUCUAUUAGUAAAGGGUUUUGUAUUAGUUUUAUAAAAUAUGAACUUUAACUUUCAGUUUGCUUAUUGAUUCAAUAUUGAAUUAUUAAGUAUUUUAUAGUGUUUCUCUACCUUCUGCUUUUUAUAGACUUUUUCUAUAAAAUGUAACAUGAAUCAUAA